This 253-nucleotide ribosomal RNA is filed under the name uncultured bacterium. RNAcentral's name for it is "partial 16S ribosomal RNA". It matches the Rfam family "Bacterial small subunit ribosomal RNA", at positions 524 to 776 of the family's 1533-position model. The record is from RNAcentral.
UACGAGGGGGGCAAGCGUUGUUCGGAAUUACUGGGCGUAAAGUGUGCGCAGGCGGUCGUGCAAGUCGCGUGUGAAAGCCCCCGGCUCAACUGGGGAGGGUCACGCGAUACUGCUCGACUUGAAGGCAGGAGAGGGAAGUGGAAUUCCCGGUGUAGUGGUGAAAUGCGUAGAUAUCGGGAGGAACACCAGUGGCGAAGGCGACUUCCUGGCCUGUUCUUGACGCUGAGGCGCGAAAGCUAGGGUAGCAAACGGG